CCUACGGGAGGCAGCAGUGAGGAAUAUUGGUCAAUGGCCGAGAGGCUGAACCAGCCAAGUCGCGUGAGGGAAGACGGCCCUACGGGUUGUAAACCUCUUUUGUCGGGGAGCAAAGCGAGUCACGUGUGACUCAUUGAGAGUACCCGAAGAAAAAGCAUCGGCUAACUACGUGCCAGCAGCCGCGGUAAUACGUAGGUGGCAAGCGUUGUCCGGAUUUACUGGGUGUAAAGGGCGUGUAGCCGGGCUGACAAGUCAGAUGUGAAAUCCCGUGGCUCAACCACGGAACUGCAUUUGAAACGGUCGGUCUUGAGUAUCGGAGAGGCAGGCGGAAUUCCUAGUGGAGCGGUGAAAUGCGUAGAUAUUAGGAGGAACACCAGUGGCGAAGGCGGCCUGCUGGACGACAACUGACGGUGAGGCGCGAAAGCGUGGGGAGCAAACAGGAUUAGAUACCCGGGUAGUC
This 460-nucleotide ribosomal RNA is filed under the name uncultured bacterium. Its description in RNAcentral is "partial 16S ribosomal RNA". It matches the Rfam family "Bacterial small subunit ribosomal RNA", at positions 338 to 795 of the family's 1533-position model. The record is from RNAcentral.